UACGUAGGGUCCGAGCGUUGUCCGGAAUUAUUGGGCGUAAAGGGCUCGUAGGCGGUUUGUUGCGUCGGGAGUGAAAACUUCGAGCUUAACUCGGAGCUUGCUUUCGAUACGGGCAGACUUGAGGCAUUCAGGGGAGAACGGAAUUUCUGGUGUAGCGGUGAAAUGCGCAGAUAUCAGAAGGAACACCGGUGGCGAAGGCGGUUCUCUGGGAAUGUUCUGACGCUGAGGAGCGAAAGUGUGGGGAGCGAACAGG
Molecule: ribosomal RNA, 253 nt
Filed under: uncultured bacterium
Lineage: Bacteria
Description: partial 16S ribosomal RNA
Rfam family: Bacterial small subunit ribosomal RNA
Source: RNAcentral